GAACGGGUGAGUAACGUGGGCAAUCUGCCCUUCACUCUGGGACAACCCUGGAAACGGGUAAUACCGGAUAACACUCUGUCCUGGGGGGGGUUAAAAGUCCGGCGGUGAAGGAUGAGCCCGCGGCCUAUCAGCUUGUUGGUGGGGUAAUGGCCUACCAGGCGACGACGGGUAGCCGGCCUGAGAGGGCGACCGGCCACACUGGGACUGAGACACGGCCCAGACUCCUACGGGAGGCAGCAGUGGGGAAUAUUGCACAAUGGGCGAAAGCCUGAUGCAGCGACGCCGCGUGAGGGAUGACGGCCUUCGGGUUGUAAACCUCUUUCAGCAGGGAAGAAGGACGGUACCUGCAGAAGAAGCGCCGGCU
RNAcentral lists this ribosomal RNA (364 nucleotides) under Streptomyces microflavus. RNAcentral's name for it is "bacterial SSU rRNA". It matches the Rfam family "Bacterial small subunit ribosomal RNA", at positions 100 to 498 of the family's 1533-position model. Lineage: Bacteria; Bacillati; Actinomycetota; Actinomycetes; Kitasatosporales; Streptomycetaceae. RNAcentral also lists the same sequence under 1 other name. The record is from RNAcentral.